This 699-nucleotide ribosomal RNA is filed under the name uncultured Brevundimonas sp. RNAcentral's name for it is "bacterial SSU rRNA". It matches the Rfam family "Bacterial small subunit ribosomal RNA", at positions 94 to 828 of the family's 1533-position model. Lineage: Bacteria; Pseudomonadati; Pseudomonadota; Alphaproteobacteria; Caulobacterales; Caulobacteraceae. The record is from RNAcentral.
AGUGGCGGACGGGUGAGUAACACGUGGGAACGUGCCCUUUGGUACGGAAUAACUCAGGGAAACUUGAGCUAAUACCGUAUGUGCCCUUCGGGGGAAAGAUUUAUCGCCAUUGGAGCGGCCCGCGUCUGAUUAGCUAGUUGGUGAGGUAAUGGCUCACCAAGGCUACGAUCAGUAGCUGGUCUGAGAGGAUGACCAGCCACAUUGGGACUGAGACACGGCCCAAACUCCUACGGGAGGCAGCAGUGGGGAAUCUUGCGCAAUGGGCGAAAGCCUGACGCAGCCAUGCCGCGUGGAUGAUGAAGGUCUUAGGAUUGUAAAAUCCUUUCACCGGGGACGAUAAUGACGGUACCCGGAGAAGAAGCCCCGGCUAACUUCGUGCCAGCAGCCGCGGUAAUACGAAGGGGGCUAGCGUUGCUCGGAAUUACUGGGCGUAAAGGGCGCGUAGGCGGACAUUUAAGUCGGGGGUGAAAUCCCAGGGCUCAACCCUGGAACUGCCUUCGAUACUGGAUGUCUUGAGUGCGGGAGAGGUGUGUGGAACUCCGAGUGUAGAGGUGAAAUUCGUAGAUAUUCGGAAGAACACCAGUGGCGAAGGCGACACACUGGCCCGUUACUGACGCUGAGGCGCGAAAGCGUGGGGAGCAAACAGGAUUAGACACCCUGGUAGUCCACGCCGUAAACGAUGAUUGCUAGUUGUCGGAG